Molecule: long non-coding RNA, 802 nt
Organism: Perca flavescens (yellow perch)
Lineage: Eukaryota; Metazoa; Chordata; Actinopteri; Perciformes; Percidae
Exons: 4
Source: RefSeq, a predicted model, not a curated record
GUAGCCUUUGUUUGUGUUGUUGCUGCUGUCAUCAUCACUGCCAGGCGUAAACAAAAAAAUCCCAACAGUCUGUCACACAGGGAGCUGGAUGAGAUGUCUCCGACUGCAAUCAAUAAUACUAAUAAGGACUCUGAGGAGAACAAGAAGAACAACACAAGCAUCCAAGAACCUGAUGAGGUCCGUACGUGUGUAGUCACGCAGGAUAACAAUCAGAUCAGAAAACGGACACCUCCUGAGAAAAGUCCGACAAGUGACAAGCCGGAGCCGUCACCUUCAACAGCAAGAAGACUUGAUUUUGACUCAGACACUCAGACAAAAACCAAAAAAACGUGAGAGAGUGUUUCCAAAAAAAAUAAGUUUUAUAUUUUGUAUACCGUUCCAUGUUUAUAGGAUCUUUUUAAUAGCAUUUCAUUAUCAUUUUUAUGUUUUCACAUUGUUUGUAUAUUGUUCCUUUAUUUAAGGAAUGUUAAACAAAUGAAAAAUUUGAUGCAAAAAAGUCACUUAAAAUCUUUGCACUGAUCUAAGCUAAAAAUAAGUGUAUAAAAGGCUCUCUAUAUCAGCGGUGAUCAUAGAGUGCACGUCGGAGAAUAGCGCAAAACCUGUUUCUUCCUGACCCCCCCAACACCCCCACUGGCACUGACUCUUAUCCUGAUCCACAUCUGACGUCAGGCGAUACACCAACGCAAUGAACUUUAUACUUAUUUAUUAACUCUAUUAAUCUGUGGCUAUUGAGGUUUACCACUAUAUCUAAUUAUCUAAUUUUAGAUAACAUGUUUUUAUUUCCCAUUCACAAUUUUUUACU